This 680-nucleotide ribosomal RNA is filed under the name uncultured bacterium. RNAcentral's name for it is "bacterial SSU rRNA". It matches the Rfam family "Bacterial small subunit ribosomal RNA", at positions 141 to 808 of the family's 1533-position model. The record is from RNAcentral.
GGAUAACACCUGGAAACAGAUGCUAAUACCGGAUAACAACACUAGACGCAUGUCUAGAGUUUGAAAGAUGGUUCUGCUAUCACUCUUGGAUGGACCUGCGGUGCAUUAGCUAGUUGGUAAGGUAACGGCUUACCAAGGCAAUGAUGCAUAGCCGAGUUGAGAGACUGAUCGGCCACAUUGGGACUGAGACACGGCCCAAACUCCUACGGGAGGCAGCAGUAGGGAAUCUUCCACAAUGGACGAAAGUCUGAUGGAGCAACGCCGCGUGAGUGAAGAAGGGUUUCGGCUCGUAAAGCUCUGUUGGUAGUGAAGAAAGAUAGAGGUAGUAACUGGCCUUUAUUUGACGGUAAUUACUUAGAAAGUCACGGCUAACUACGUGCCAGCAGCCGCGGUAAUACGUAGGUGGCAAGCGUUGUCCGGAUUUAUUGGACGUAAAGCGAGUGCAGGCGGUUCAAUAAGUCUGAUGUGAAAGCCUUCGGCUCAACCGGAGAAUUGCAUCAGAAACUGUUGAACUUGAGUGCAGAAGAGGAGAGUGGAACUCCAUGUGUAGCGGUGGAAUGCGUAGAUAUAUGGAAGAACACCAGUGGCGAAGGCGGCUCUCUGGUCUGCAACUGACGCUGAGGCUCGAAAGCAUGGGUAGCGAACAGGAUUAGAUACCCUGGUAGUCCAUGCCGUAAACG